CAAUAGCGUAUAUUUAAGUUGCUGCAGUUAAAAAGCUCGUAGUUGGAUUUCGGGUGGGAAUGGCCGGUCCGCCGUUUCGGUGUGCACUUGCUACGCCCACCUUGCUGCCGGGGACGUGCUCUUGAGUUCACGCUCGGGACACGGAGUCGGCGAGGUUACUUUGAGUAAAUUAGAGUGUUCAAAGCAGGCCUACGCUCUGAAUACAUUAGCAUGGAAUAACACGAUAGGACUCUGGCCUAUCUUGUUGGUCUGUAGGACCGGAGUAAUGAUUAAGAGGGACAGUCGGGGGCAUUCGUAUUUCAUUGUCAGAGGUGAAAUUCUUGGAUUUAUGGAAGACGAACAACUGCGAAAGCAUUUGCCAAGGAUGUUUUCAUUAA
This 377-nucleotide ribosomal RNA is filed under the name uncultured eukaryote. RNAcentral's name for it is "partial 18S ribosomal RNA". It matches the Rfam family "Eukaryotic small subunit ribosomal RNA", at positions 592 to 976 of the family's 1831-position model. The record is from RNAcentral.